Heterocephalus glaber (naked mole-rat) is the source of this 734-nucleotide long non-coding RNA. NCBI's taxonomy places the organism in Eukaryota, Metazoa, Chordata, Mammalia, Rodentia, Bathyergidae. The record is from Ensembl.
CCCUGUACCUGCACUGCGCAAGUCCUUAAUGGGAGCGCGACGUUUCCUCCCGCAGGGUCAGAGGGUCCGAUCCGUAGACAAAGGGCGUCGAGUCGGCGCUAGGCUGUCCGUCUCUCCGCUUGCCUCGUCCUCUGGUCUCGUCUGGUCAGUGGUGAUGCUCCUUCCAUCGGGAUCAGAUCGGGAAGUCCCAAAGACCACCAGGAAGCCGAUUCCGAUGUAAGCACACGAGGGCCGUUUAUUCAAGCUCGAGCAGGGGCUCCCAACCGUCACCGACGCAGCGGAUCAGAAUUGAGAGCCCCGAAUUUCAAAUUAGCGGGGUUUUUAUUGUGGUUACAGCAAGAUCAAAUGAAUGAAUUAUCUAACAGGGAAAUGAACGCUGGAUGUAAUAUUACUUUAAGCCACAUCUGAAAUGAAUUGGAAGAUCAAAAGACUACAUAAUGACAUCAAUUGAGAGAAAGAAAACUUUCUUCCCCUGAACUUUAAAGAGUAUACUGUCUCAUUUCAACUCCCAGCAACCUGACGAAUACAGCAUCAGUGAAGAGCAAAUGAGAUAGUCUAGAUGAAGUCGUGCACUGUCCGGCACAGAGUAACUGUCCAGUAUCUAUCAGCCAUGGUUAUGAAAAUAUGUCUACAGAAAUGCUUUGCUCCUCUCUCUUUGUUUACAUAUUUUUUGCUAAAAUGUAUUCGGUCUCAUUCUCAUGACUUCUCAAUAGAUGGCACACAUCCAAAUGCCG